UCCAAUAUCUCAGGGGCUGCCGCAAAGAAGUGAGAGUCCAGCUAUUCUCCAAAGCACCUGAAGUCAGGAUAAGAAGCAACGGAUGGAAACUAAUCAAGGAGAGAAGCAACCUGGAACUAAGGAGAAACUUCCUG
Molecule: non-coding RNA, 134 nt
Organism: Notechis scutatus (mainland tiger snake)
Lineage: Eukaryota; Metazoa; Chordata; Lepidosauria; Squamata; Elapidae
Source: RefSeq, a predicted model, not a curated record